UAUCGGGGUGGGGCUAAGCCAUGCGAGUCGACACCCCGAGCUACGGUGGGGUGUGGCGCACGGCUCAGUAACACGUGGACAACCUGCCCUCGGGAGGGGGAUAACCUCGGGAAACUGAGGCUAAUCCCCCAUAGGUGAGAGCGCCUGGAACGGUCUCUCACCGAAAAGGUGCGGCACCAUGCUGCCGUUACCGCCCGAGGAUGGGUCCGCGGCCGAUCAGGUUGUUGGUGGGGUAACGGCCCACCAAGCCGACGACCGGUACGGGCCGUGAGAGCGGGAGCCCGGAGAUGGGCCCUGAGACAAGGGCCCAGGCCCUACGGGGCGCAGCAGGCGCGAAACCUCCGCAAUCCGCGCAAGCGGGACGGGGCCACCCCGAGUGCCACCCCAAAAGGGUGGCUUUUGCCCAGUCUGACACGCUGGGCGAAUAAGGGGAGGGCAAGGCUGGUGCCAGCCUCCUCCCGCGGGGUGCUACCGCGGAGGCUGGACGCCGCGGUAAAACCAGCUCCCCGAGUGGUCGGGAUGUUUAUUGGGCUUAAAGCGUCCGUAGCCGGGCUGGUAAGUCUCUGGUCAAAUCCGGCGGCCUAACCGUCGGAUUGCUAGAGAUACUACCAGCCUUGGGGGCGGAAGAGGCCGAGGGUACCACCGGGGUAGGGGUGAAAUCCUUUAAUCCCGGUGGGACCACCAGUGGCGAAGGCGCUCGGCUGGGACGCGCCCGACGGUGAGGGACGAAACCCAGGGGAGCGAACCGGAUUAGAUACCCGGGUAGUCCUGGGCGCAAACGAUGCGGGCUGGGUGUUGGAGCGACUUAGCGUCGCUCCAGUGCCGAAGGGAAACCGUUAAGCCCGCCGCCUGGGGAGUACGGCCGCAAGGCUGAAACUUAAAGGAAUUGACGGGGGGACACCACAAGGGGUGGAGCCUGCGGUUUAAUUGGACUCAACGCCGGGAAUCUUACCGGGGGAGACAGCUGGAUGAAGGCCA
This 978-nucleotide ribosomal RNA is filed under the name uncultured archaeon. RNAcentral's name for it is "bacterial SSU rRNA". It matches the Rfam family "Archaeal small subunit ribosomal RNA", at positions 31 to 956 of the family's 1478-position model. The record is from RNAcentral.